This 492-nucleotide ribosomal RNA is filed under the name uncultured bacterium. RNAcentral's name for it is "partial 16S ribosomal RNA". It matches the Rfam family "Bacterial small subunit ribosomal RNA", at positions 29 to 507 of the family's 1533-position model. The record is from RNAcentral.
AGUGAACGCUGGCGGUAGGCCUAACACAUGCAAGUCGAACGGCAGCACAGUAAGAGCUUGCUCUUACGGGUGGCGAGUGGCGGACGGGUGAGGAAUACAUCGGCAUCUACUUUUUCGUGGGGGAUAACGUAGGGAAACUUACGCUAAUACCGCAUACGACCUACGGGUGAAAGCAGGGGAUCUUCGUACCUUGCGCGAUUUCAUGAGCCGAUGUCGGAUUAGCUAGUUGGCGGGGUAAAGGCCCACCAAGGCGACGAUCCGUAGCUGGUCUGAGAGGAUGAAAAGACAAACGGGAACUGAGAAACGGUCCAGACUCCUACGGGAGGCAGCAGUGGGGAAUAUUGGACAAUGGGGGAAAGCCGGAUCCAGCAAUACCGCGUGGGUGAAGAAGGCCUUCGGGUUGUAAAGCCCUUUUGUUGGGAAAGAAAAGCAGCAGGUUAAUAACCCGAUGUUCUGACGGUACCCAAAGAAUAAGCACCGGCUAACUACGUG